RNAcentral lists this ribosomal RNA (526 nucleotides) under uncultured bacterium. RNAcentral describes it as "bacterial SSU rRNA". It matches the Rfam family "Bacterial small subunit ribosomal RNA", at positions 777 to 1304 of the family's 1533-position model. The record is from RNAcentral.
AAUAGAUACCCGGGUAGUCCACGCCGUAAACGAUGUCGACUUGGAGGUUGUUCCCUUGAGGAGUGGCUUCCGGAGCUAACGCGUUAAGUCGACCGCCUGGGGAGUACGGCCGCAAGGUUAAAACUCAAAUGAAUUGACGGGGGCCCGCACAAGCGGUGGAGCAUGUGGUUUAAUUCGAUGCAACGCGAAGAACCUUACCUACUCUUGACAUCCAGAGAACUUAGCAGAGAUGCUUUGGUGCCUUCGGGAACUCUGAGACAGGUGCUGCAUGGCUGUCGUCAGCUCGUGUUGUGAAUGUUGGGUUAAGUCCCGCAACGAGCGCAACCCUUAUCCUUUGUUGCCAGCGGUUCGGCCGGGAACUCAAAGGAGACUGCCAGUGAUAAACUGGAGGAAGGUGGGAAUGACGUCAAGUCAUCAUGGCCCUUACGAGUAGGGCUACACACGUGCUACAAUGGCAUAUACAAAGAGAAGCGACCUCGCGAGAGCAAGCGGACCUCAUAAAGUAUGUCGUAGUCCGGAUUGGAGU